Long non-coding RNA from Myotis brandtii (Brandt's bat), 1112 nucleotides. RefSeq lists it as uncharacterized. The record is from RefSeq and is a predicted model, not a curated record. NCBI's taxonomy places the organism in Eukaryota, Metazoa, Chordata, Mammalia, Chiroptera, Vespertilionidae. The transcript is spliced from 3 exons.
AUAUUUAUUUGAACAGAAAAGCUUGAUUUUUAUAUUUCUAUUUUUGGUCCUUCUGAGCUAGUAGGUCGGGACUCAGGAAGCUUGAUUAAGUGAGUUCUACCUAAAAUCAGAGACAGCUUUUUUCACCAAAUUAGUCAUAGCUGUGUAUUCAUUGUGGGGACCAAGGAUGAUGGGAUGUGGAGAAAUGACAUGAAACCUAAGCCAGUGUUCAUAGUCUUGGAAAUUCAUAAAAUGUAUUCAAAUGACAAGCCCUCACCUUGGAAACAGGAAGUCUUAAUGAUAUCUGCCCACCACUUGAAAUAGUACAGAUUUAUUUUUUCUGUUCACUCAGAAUUUAAAAGUAGGUCGGGACUCAGGAAGCUUGAUUAAGUGAGUUCUACCUAAAAUCAGAGACAGCUUUUUUCACCAAAUUAGGUAGGUCUGUUCUCUCCCCUCUUCCCUCAUCUAUCCCCCGUUUCUGACCUGGGUUGUUCCCUUCUUUUCCUCCCCCAAACUUUCACUUAUGCUUCUUCUAUGGGCCUCCAUCCCAGCACCAACUUCCAUCAGCAGAGGUGGGGCGCUCUGGUCACUUGGUCUGGAUUCAGCCUGUCUCACUGGUGCAGGAAACACCGGCUGGGCUGAGAAAAAAGUGUAUCCUGUUUAAUUUCUUGGCUCCUUACAGACUGAAUUAUCCAGAACUUGCCCGACUGAUAAAGAUGAAAAGAUAAAUAGUUGUCUCUCAUGCAUUCAUAUAGACAUCUGAAUGGGUAGGAUUUAGAUAAGUACAGAUGAAUACAAAUACAAUCCUGAAUUAGAAAGAAGCAUUGUUGAGCCUGUGUGAACCUUACUCUGUUUAGAGUCAUAGCUGUGUAUUCAUUGUGGGGACCAAGGAUGAUGGGAUGUGGAGAAAUGACAUGAAACCUAAGCCAGUGUUCAUAGUCUUGGAAAUUCAUAAAAUGUAUUCAAAUGACAAGCCCUCACCUUGGAAACAGGAAGUCUUAAUGAUAUCUGCCCACCACUUGAAAUAGUACAGAUUUAUUUUUUCUGUUCACUCAGAAUUUAAAAGGUAAGUUGUUAGUAGUUACAUUUUACCUCUCUCAGGUUUACCUGCUUAUGGUUAAGUUUAAAUAUGU